RNAcentral lists this ribosomal RNA (497 nucleotides) under uncultured bacterium. Its description in RNAcentral is "partial 16S ribosomal RNA". It matches the Rfam family "Bacterial small subunit ribosomal RNA", at positions 28 to 507 of the family's 1533-position model. The record is from RNAcentral.
GAUGAACGCUGGCGGCGUGCCUAAUACAUGCAAGUCGAGCGAACAGACGAGGAGCUUGCUCCUCUGACGUUAGCGGCGGACGGGUGAGUAACACGUGGAUAACCUACCUAUAAGACUGGGAUAACUUCGGGAAACCGGAGCUAAUACCGGAUAAUAUAUUGAACCGCAUGGUUCAAUAGUGAAAGACGGUUUUGCUGUCACUUAUAGAUGGAUCCGCGCCGCAUUAGCUAGUUGGUAAGGUAACGGCUUACCAAGGCGACGAUGCGUAGCCGACCUGAGAGGGUGAUCGGCCACACUGGAACUGAGACACGGUCCAGACUCCUACGGGAGGCAGCAGUAGGGAAUCUUCCGCAAUGGGCGAAAGCCUGACGGAGCAACGCCGCGUGAGUGAUGAAGGUCUUCGGAUCGUAAGACUCUGUUAUUAGGGAAGAACAAAUGUGUAAGUAACUAUGCACGUCUUGACGGUACCUAAUCAGAAAGCCACGGCUAACUACGUG